AGUGGGCUCCCGGGACGCAGGCCGCACGCUUAGCGACUUCCUGCCGAGGGGCUCCCAGCGAGAGGCGUGCCGGGCGCGUGAGCGCUCCAGGCCCAGAUCAACUACAAAAACCAGCCCAGGCUGAAGCUGGGACCAGCUGCAUUGAAUAAUGACCCCCCUAUCCUGGUGCCCGCCAAUCCAUCAGUAGAGUCCACAACCCUGAGAGGACACACCUGGAAAGCUGCUGAAUCUUCUAUGGAGAUCUUCUCCUGGGACCGCCCCUGAAAUCUCCACCCUUAAAACCCUGGGGACAGGCCCCAGCCGGCUCUCCCUCCAGGGAGCCGCAGUGCCUUUUCCCUUCCCUUCCCCACCCAGGCUGGUUACCUUCAGCUUCCUCCCGCCCAGCCUCCAAGGGCCCUUCCUUUACUUCCAUAACUUGUUUCCUAAGCCCGUUUCUUCCAGGAGUUACUUCUCCUCCCUCUGUGAUUCACCAAAUACACGUUCUUACCGUUA
Molecule: long non-coding RNA, 492 nt
Organism: Eptesicus fuscus (big brown bat)
Lineage: Eukaryota; Metazoa; Chordata; Mammalia; Chiroptera; Vespertilionidae
Exons: 2
Source: RefSeq, a predicted model, not a curated record